CUAAAAGGAUUGAUAUUGAUAAAAAAAAAAUAGUAUGGAACAUGUUGAUGGUGUAAUAUAUAUCUAUAUAUAUAUAUAUAUAUAUAUAUAUCUGGUUUCUCUAAAUUAAUAAUAUUAGUAAUGUUAGAAUGAAUUGUGCCUUUGUAACUAAUUUAAUUAUUUAUUAUAUUAUUGUGUAAAUGAUUUUAAAAGAUAUUCCCCAGUUACAAGUUUGUGUUUAUCUUCUCCUUUGUCUUUUUGUUUUUUGUUUUUUGUAAAAAUUGAUUCAAUAAAGUUUUAAGAAUUAAAGAUUCAUCAAAUGUUUUGUGGUGUUUAUUGGAUCUUAUGAUGUAUAGAUGUCAAUUUAUUUAUUUUUAUUUUUUUUGGAAUAUAGGUGAAGAGAGAGUUUUAUGUAAGUUAUUUCCAACUUUAUCAAAAGGAUACAUGAGAAAUACAUAUGAUUAUGUGGUAUUAAGAUAAUUAUUUAAGAAAAAAUUAACAUGUAUAGUCUCAUUCCUAUACAAAGAGAUUUUCAUUACAAACUCUCUUCAAUCAAGCUUCGGUAUCUAAUUCUACUUGUAAAUUGGAUUUUUCAGGCCGCUAUCAGCACUAACAAUGCUUUAUUAAAAAUACUAUUUCAAAUAAAAUUCAACUAAAAUAUUAAAAUAUCACAAUCUCAAAACAACAACAAUUGUUAAUUACAAAAAAAAAGAAAAAUGAAAAAUGAAAAAAAAGAAAAAGAAAAAGAAAAAUUAGGAAAAUUCAUUGUUUUGCAAGGGCAAUACUAUUUUCAUUUUCUGCAAAGAAUAAUAUAUUGAAAUCUAGACUCCACUAUGUUCAUGUAAGUGUAACCUCUAUUAAUCAAUCUAUGAAUCACAUUAAAAAAUCGGAUUUUUGAAAGU
RNAcentral lists this long non-coding RNA (881 nucleotides) under Physcomitrium patens. RNAcentral describes it as "long non-coding RNA (PPAT_LNC013310)". Lineage: Eukaryota; Viridiplantae; Streptophyta; Bryopsida; Funariales; Funariaceae. The record is from RNAcentral.